This 253-nucleotide ribosomal RNA is filed under the name uncultured bacterium. RNAcentral describes it as "partial 16S ribosomal RNA". It matches the Rfam family "Bacterial small subunit ribosomal RNA", at positions 524 to 776 of the family's 1533-position model. The record is from RNAcentral.
GACGGAGGGUGCAAGCGUUGUUCGGAAUUACUGGGCGUAAAGCGCGUGUAGGCGGCUAGGUAAGUCGGAUGUGAAAGCCCCGAGCUCAACUCGGGAACUGCGUCCGAAACUGCUUAGCUCGAGUCUCGGAGAGGAAGGCAGAACUCCCAGUGUAGGGGUGAAAUCCGUAGAUACUGGGAAGAAUACCGGUAGCGAAGGCGGCCUUCUGGACGAUGACUGACGCUGAGACGCGAAAGCGUGGGGAGCAAACAGG